This 252-nucleotide ribosomal RNA is filed under the name uncultured bacterium. Its description in RNAcentral is "partial 16S ribosomal RNA". It matches the Rfam family "Bacterial small subunit ribosomal RNA", at positions 524 to 776 of the family's 1533-position model. The record is from RNAcentral.
UACGGAGGGUGCAAGCGUUAUCCGGAUUCACUGGGUUUAAGGGGGCGUAGGGGGGCAAGUAAGUCAGUGGUGAAAUCUCCGGGCUUAACCCGGAAACUGCCAUUGAUACUAUUUGUCUUGAAUACUGUGGAGGUCAGCGGAAUAUGUCAUGUAGCGGUGAAAUGCUUAGUUAUGACAUAGAACACCAAUUGCGAAGGCGGCUGGCUACACAAAUAUUGACACUGAGGCACGAAAGCGUGGGGAUCAAACAGG